This is a long non-coding RNA of Daphnia magna, 3856 nucleotides long. RefSeq lists it as uncharacterized. The record is from RefSeq and is a predicted model, not a curated record. Lineage: Eukaryota; Metazoa; Arthropoda; Branchiopoda; Diplostraca; Daphniidae. The transcript has 15 exons.
UUUAUACUGACGAAGUAUAAAUUUUGAGCUAAAUAGGGUUAUGGUUCCGUGAAAUCUGCAAUAACUUGGCUAUACGCAGUACAUGAUCAAACUUUGCAUUCAUACUUAUCUAAGUUAUGAAAAAAAAGAAAGGAUACGACAGUUAUCUAGUGCCAUUUUUCGUCCAUUCACCCGCAUGCUAUCAGUAGCUGUAUUCUGUAACCUACGGAACGCCGUUUGAUCCAUUUUUUUAUAGACAGCUUUUAUCGCUAGCUGAUCGUUUAUGUAGCAAAUAAAUAGCUAACUAGCAUUGCCAUCUAACGGUAAAAAAUGACACUAAUAGAAGGGAUUUGAAUAGACCACGCCUUCAACGAAGGAGGAGUCCACUACAUACUGAAUUUAUCGAUCGAUUGUUAGGCCCAUUUCGAUCGCUACUGUACAGUCAAUGGCGGCGAAGCGCAUUGUAAGUUUGUAACUUGGAAGUGUAUGCAUGUGCGACUUGAUGUGGCGUUGCAUGUGGGGGGCCUCGUUGCCAGUACUCUUGAGUGAUGGUGACAUAUGGUAUCUUACUGACUUCUAUUGGUUUUAUUUGUGGAAAGAAUAUCUUGAGUGGAAAAAUUGGAUCACAAUUGACUACAUGUUUUACUAUUUUAAAUGAGUUUAUCACAAAGAAUUUUUUACUCAUUCAUGUUCUGUUUCUGUAAUGUAGGUAGAAUAAUCGCAAUGUCGUGGUAGUAAUUCGCGAGAGAUAUGCCAAUAGGGUUUCCCUAUUGACAUACGGAUACAGGCCUGUUUUCAAUUCACAAUCAUAAUGGAUUCAAAGAGGAUAUUGAUGGAGUUUUGGUAUAAAAAAGUACAUGCUCGUUGGAAGGGCAACCAAAGAGUUCCGGAUCCUUUUACUAUUGCACAUAUUAUGUGUGUGUAAAACUAAAGGCUAAAAGAAGAAGAAGAAUGAUUCAAAAAUUCUGGGAGAGAAUUAUCAAAGAAUUAUACUCGUUUAGCUCUUUUUACUGUGCAUGGAACUUUUUUGGUCGAGACCUUAUGGGUGUCUUAAAGGCACUGAAGGUUGCGUUAGAUGUCAUAAUCCACAACAAAAAGGAAACGCUGAAAAUCCCAGGUGACGAUGGGAGUUAGUGGCAAUGUUACGGUGUAGAUAACUUCAGAAAGUGUUACGCUAGCUGAUGUACACCGCCUAGCAGGAAAAGGUUGUGAGAGUAGCAGAAGAAGAGGAAAUUGCAGUAAACCUGCUUUUGAAAGAAGCCAAACAUUCCGAUGAUAUGGGAGCCCAGCCUGUGGAAACAAAAACCCUAUGUUUCAGAUAGAAAGACCAAAGGAACACGUCGUUCCUCAGCUACUUCUGAGGGCCACUGUCACCGAAAGAAAAUCACCUCGCUUAUAGACUCGGAAGGUGAAAGCGAGAUCCAAAAAUUUGCGACAACGAAGCAAGUAAAAAGUCCUCCACCGUCACAGACCACAAUGUGUAAAUGCGUCACAUCCGGGAAAUUAAUACUGCAGUAACCAGAGCGAUAAAAAAAUUGGCACCAACUCGUACAUAUCAGAUUUUGUCGCAACGCAUUCAAGAAUGGAGCUUAACAGCUUGCAGGACUGAAGAAAAUGAUAAAAAAGAAUUAGAACAAAUUUGUUGGAACAAAACAAACCACGGGAAGCUCAGGAAGAGCUGGAUCUUAAACAAAAGUGCUCAAAAGGAACUAGAUAACAACAGCAAAGGCUAAAAAAUUUGUGGUUGACAUAAACUUUCGCGAAGAAGCAGUUAAAGUAGGCGAAAGGGAAUCGAGUGCGCUACUGUCCCGUGCGUCACUUGCGGCAUCAGUAUUGCGGCCAGUAAGGCAUCCGACACAUGGGGGGAUGUUUCAACAAAUCUAACAAACGGGGUUCGAUUCAAUCUUUUAAACCAAGCAGUAAUAAGUUACGCGGCGGUUACAAUCCCAGUAACCAAAUACACUGGAGGCGACUUCGUGCAUUAAGUCCGUUGCAUUGCAAAAAUCUUGAUAAGAAAACUGAUGUAGGCUAUCGGUAUCCUGUAGUACGAGAAGUUUACCGAUAGAGAUCAUGUGUAGAUGAGAUGAUAUAGUCACCACCGACUCCGUUUUUAACGGUAUUCCUCUCAACAGACGGCGUUAGCUGUAAUAGGUAUUUAACAUAGGUUUUGAGGUGGUUCAGAAACGUUUAACACGUUUUGCAACUAGACAUCAUUUGAAUGGUGCAGUUCCUAUCUGCAGCCCUGCAGUGUGCAAAAAUAGAUGGUGGAAAAAAUCUGCUCAUCAUGCUGAUCUGCACAAUGCCAGCUUCAUUAAGCAAUCUUGAAAUGACCUAUGAACAGACUACACAGUAUUAAAAGACUCUUCCCUUAAAGAAAUUUGUAGCCGUGGACUCUCUUUAGAAGACUCUUGUAUGAAAUAUUUGCAUGCUUCUUGGAACAAGGAACAUAAGAUGUCUUGAUGACAACCAAGUGUCCCUGGAAAGAUUGGAAAAAGAUGUUUAAGCAGGAAAUAUCUUAAGUUGGAGGAUGGCACAUUUUUUGUUUCCCAUUACUAGUUUUGUAAAAACAAAUGGUAAAUUGGUGAAAUGAAACAACACAUGACAUAUUACUUUAGAUCAAUUGUUUUCACAAGUGGAGAUUGAUUCCACAAUCUUCAGCUUCCCAGACAGACACCCAUCCACAAGGCCAUGGGUGAUAGAUGAUAUAAAAAAAUUUAAAAAAAAAUUUACAUUUUAGGUUAUUGAUUGCAGAGUCAGAGAACAAUGUGUAAAACCUGAUAUUCAAGCCCUUGAAACCCCAGCUGCCCUUAUGCUUCAACAAGGGUAUAAAGCUAUUAUAAUUUCACGAGUUAAACAUUGAAACCAAAAACAAAUCGGGAAUUUUUUAGUUGGCUUUUUUGUUUAAUGAUAUUGUUACACUUUACUUUAGAAAACAUGGAAGUGUAUACAUAUAUUCAGGGUCAAGUUAAUGAAAUGGUUCAGCCGAAAAUGAAUUUUACAUUACUUUUGAACAGAUCCCAACUCAGUUUACGCAGCGGAUGGGGCAUCCGCUGCCCCCCUACUGAUGAUACUGAACGCCAUCUUUAUGGAGUCCAGUUCCAUCCUGAAGUUGAUUUUACUGAAAACAAAUUACAGGACGAAAAAUGUUGCAUAAUUUCUUGUUCGACAUCUGUGGAUUGCAAGGAGUUUUUCACAUUGGAGAAAUGCGACCAGCAGUGUAUCCAUACGUCCGGUCGGACGUAGUAAGAUCGGGCUUAUACUGGUAAGCGGCGGAUUCGAUUCCGCCGUUUGUGCUGCCCUUCUCCAUAAAGCACUUCUACAGAGUGGCGACUCGUCGCGAGUGCAUGACAUCCAUAUCGAUAACGGUUUCCUGCGUAAAGACGAAUCCGAGCAAGUCGUCACUAGUUUACAGCAAGUCGGGCUCAACCUUCGGCUAAUUUGAGAUACUUUUCUGAUUUAAGAACGUUGCGUAUGCAAAUUAUCUCCGCCACUCUUUACAGGACACGGAAGCGGAAUUGUAUCACUGACCAGAUUUAGAUGGGAUAUAUUAGAAUAGUGGAUUCAGUAUAGACUUUUGAAAUUGAAAAAUUAGUCAGCUUUGUCAUCUCGUGAAAAUCUCUUAAACUCACCUCUUAGGAAAAUUUCACGUGAUGACUUGUUGAGUAUUCCUUAAUAUACAUGCACACUUGUCGGAAAUAAUGGUUGCAUUUGGUUUUCGUCGAACAAAUUAAACAUUCUUAAAGUGCAGCUAGGUGGGUUGUUGUUGCUCUCCGAAGGCUAUUCGAGGCGUUAUGCCAUUUCCUGAAAUUGAACGUUCAGAAAAUAUGGUACAUGUUCGCAAAUUGUUAAGAUCUAAUCAGGGUGGUACCAUAAAGCA